Long non-coding RNA from Apis mellifera (honey bee), 873 nucleotides. RefSeq lists it as uncharacterized. The transcript has 3 exons. The record is from RefSeq and is a predicted model, not a curated record. Lineage: Eukaryota; Metazoa; Arthropoda; Insecta; Hymenoptera; Apidae.
CAAGAAGAAGAAUGCUUUUUGCUUAAUUUCACUGAUUAAUUUUAAUAAAGGAUAGAGGUAAAUAGGAUAUACAAAAUUUCAGAUAAGUUGAUAAAGUUUGCAAGCAUCCUGAAAAAUGUUGAUAUUUAUUAAUUAAAUGUUGCACAGAAUUCUUGAACGGAGAUGGAAUACGUUAUUCCUUCUAUCACUAAAAAUCCAACUAAAAGUUCGAUUCUUUUCUGAUGAAUUUUUGCAAAAGAACAUGACUUCUACAUUAUUCCUAUUGUUACUGGUACGUCACGUGACAUGGUACUAUGCUUGCUUUUGGCGAAAGCCUGAUCACGUGACAUACUCCUGCCUACUGUAACAAUAACAGUGGGGAUAAUAUAACGUAUUUUCAUUUGUAUUCUUAUAUAAAAAUUCGCCAGAAAGAAAUCAAGUUACUUUUAAUGAUAGAAGUGAUAGAAGUAUACUAUCUUUGUCCAACAAUCUUGUUGUCGUACUUGUGCAACUCUAAUUGUGCGUGCUACAGAAUUUUUUCCAUUAAUUUCUCAAGUUUUCUUCUUAAUUUCUCAAUUUCUUUAAUUUUCGAGAAGUAAAUUUCACGAAAAGAAGAGUCUUGAUAUGAUACGUUUCGUGUUACCGUCAGUUGCACAACAUUCUUGGUAAUUUAAGAAAUGUGACGUAAUUGCAAAAUCUUGGUCAGAAGUUGGUUGGAAAUUUAUAGGAUUACAUAAGUGAUCAGAAGUACCUUUUUCUCGAUAAUUGAUCGAAGAAAUGGAUAAAAAGAGAAUGAAGAAAUUAUUAAAUAAAAUAUUUGUAUUUACUUACCGAGGCAAUGGCUAUAUUCAAAAGUAGAUCACCUAUAUCAAGUUGGCGUGGUUUACCAUUGUC